AAUCCAUGAUGAGGGAAAUCUCUUAGGUGUUCCUUAAAGCAUUCCCAAGAAUCAUGGAAACUUUUUAAAGGUCCAUGUUGGAAUCCUUGUAUCUUAUUCCUUAAGAGAUU
Arabis alpina (gray rockcress) is the source of this 110-nucleotide non-coding RNA. NCBI's taxonomy places the organism in Eukaryota, Viridiplantae, Streptophyta, Magnoliopsida, Brassicales, Brassicaceae. The record is from Rfam.